UACGUAGGGGGCAAGCGUUAUCCGGAUUUACUGAGUGUAAAGGGAGCGUAGACGGCUUGGCAAGCCAGAUGUGAAAGGCUGGGGCUCAACCCCAGGACUGCAUUUGGAACUGUCAUGCUAGAGUGUCGGAGAGGCAGGCGGAAUUCCUAGUGUAGCGGUGAAAUGCGUAGAUAUUAGGAGGAACACCAGUGGCGAAGGCGGCCUGCUGGACGAUGACUGACGUUGAGGCUCGAAAGCGUGGGGAGCAAACAGG
RNAcentral lists this ribosomal RNA (253 nucleotides) under uncultured bacterium. RNAcentral's name for it is "partial 16S ribosomal RNA". It matches the Rfam family "Bacterial small subunit ribosomal RNA", at positions 524 to 776 of the family's 1533-position model. The record is from RNAcentral.